GACGAACGCUGGCGGCGUGCCUAACACAUGCAAGUCGAGCGGUUCUUAAGCUGUAGUUUACUAUAGCUUAAGAAUAGCGGCGAACGGGUGAGUAACACGUGGGCAACCUGUCCGAAAGAUCGGGAUAACAGUCCGAAAGGGCUGCUAAUACCGAAUACGCUUACCGGGUCGCAUGAUCCGGUAAGGAAAGGUCGGCAACUUCCGCUUUCGGGUGGGCCCGCGUCCCAUUAGCUAGUUGGUAGGGUAACGGCCUACCAAGGCAACGAUGGGUAGCUGGUCUGAGAGGAUGGUCAGCCACACUGGGACUGAGACACGGCCCAGACUCCUACGGGAGGCAGCAGUGGGGAAUCUUGCGCAAUGGGCGAAAGCCUGACGCAGCGACGCCGCGUGAGCGAGGAAGGCCUUCGGGUCGUAAAGCUCUGUCAGAGGGGACGAUAAUGACGGUACCCUCCAGAGGAAGCCCCGGCUAACUACGUG
Molecule: ribosomal RNA, 477 nt
Filed under: uncultured bacterium
Lineage: Bacteria
Description: bacterial SSU rRNA
Rfam family: Bacterial small subunit ribosomal RNA
Source: RNAcentral